AGCAGAUAAAAAAGUGGUGAAAAGCAUAUAAAGGUGAGUUCAAUCAUUCAUCAUGCAGCCCCACCAACAAAACAAACAAUAAGAAAAGACCAAGGAUGUCUAUCAGAGACUUGCAGUUGACCCUCAAUAUCUCUAUAUAAUCAUCAUCUCCUAGCAUUUUCACAAAGUUUUGAAUGAAUACGGCAUUCAAAUGCAUUGUCUCAUUACCCUGAUCAUAUUUCUAUCAACUGCGGAGGAGCUGCAGCUGUCAGUGGCAGAAAAUGGAGCGGAGACGCUACACCGAAAGCUUCAUCAAAGGAAUCAACUGUCAAGGGAGAGCUGAUCACAGCCGUCGAUCCAGUUCCCUUCAGCACUGCACGCAUCUCCCGCUCCCAAUUUUCCUACUCCUUUCACCUCACUCCAGGUCAGAAAUUUAUCCGCCUUCACUUCAAUCCCGUGCCUUACUACGGUUUUGAAAGCUUCCACGAUUUCUUCACCGUCGAAGCUGGUCCUUUCAUGCUACUUGCUAAUUUCAGUGCUUCCAUAACUGCUCGUGCUCUUGCUCUCAAUGUUAUUGCCAAAGAAUUCUGCUUAAUCAUACAAGAAAAUCAACCCCUACACAUAGUAUUCUCUCCGGAAACUUUGUUUAAUUAUGCUUUUGUUAAUGGGAUUGAGAUUAUUGAAAGAUAUUAUGUACUAGAUUAGGAUAUAUUUGAUAUAUUCUAAUACUAAGUAAGACAAUUCAAGUGUGAAUUCCUUAGUCGUAAUUGUUGACUCAAGAAGACAAGACAAUUUAGAAUUGUCUUCUUCGCUUAUAAAUAAAGGAGAUUGGUCUUACGAAGAAUAUACGAAAAACACUAAGAGAGCACUAUAGUUUCAAUCGGAGAUUUCCUAGCUGUCGACGAUUGAAUCGUGCACUUGGAAUAGUUCCUGCAUCGAAUCGACAUACACGUGGAUACCUUAGUAGUGGAUUCACGGCAAGAAUCGAGACGCACGUUUACCACACAACGAGUAAGUUAUUCUUUUCGUUGUGUGCCUAUCUCUACACAUGAUGCAUUUGUAAAUCUAGAUCUAAUCCUUGAAUGUAUAUUCUGCUGCGUAUCAUUAGAUGAUGUCAAGGAAAACUAACUGUGGUAUCAGAGCCCGGGCUCGAUUUACAAUUGUGAUUGUGUUCUAAUUGUUUAUGGGUUGAGAAUAUUUGAUUUUAGAAAUGGUUUCUAAAAUGAAUCUGAAAUUGGAAAUUUUGGAAAUCUGUUUCGACUUUUGAAUUGGAAUUGAAAUCGAAAGUUUUGGAAUUGGGAUUUUGUUGCUGGGCAACAUUUGAAACUUUGCUGGGCCAUUCACCGGAUCCAAGCCGACCACCUUGAUGAACGAGGCGGCGACAGUGGCUCGGGGCUCGCCGGUGAGCAGCGCCCGACCACCUGCCGCUGGUUGCGUCGCGGUGCGUCGUGGCUUCGAGCCAACGUCCGCUGCAUCUCUUUAACAGACCUGCCAACUCGAUCUUGGAGUCCGGCAAUGGUGGAGGUCUUGCACGCCUCCGGGCGGUGAACGGCGACAGGGAGCUUCGAGCUCCUGCCGGAGUGGCUAAGGAACGGUGAGGACGCAGGCAAGCGUCUGGAGACGUCGCCGCUUACCUCCGACGCGCCUUCGAGCCGCGACCGGCGAGGAUCUGUCCGGCGAGGUCGCGCGACGUCGUCUGCAUCGUGGCUUCGAGCGGCGGCGGCGUGGCUCCAGGGCUCCGGGCGUGGGGACGGGAAGGAGAAGGCGGCAGCGGGCUGCCGGGAAAAGGAAGCGGCUGCUGCUGCUAAAUCUCCUCUCAAACCCUUGCUGCUGAAAUUGAAUUUGGGCUGUUAUAGUUUUGGGCCCGGACUGGGCCUGAGGCAGCUGGGCUGUGUUUUAAAGGGCUGGGCUUGCGAUUUUUUAAAUAUAAAGGCCCCUAUGUGGGCUGAAACUGUUUUUUUAAAAAAAAAUCUUUUAUUAAUUUUGAAUUAAUAAUUGAAUCCCAAUUUCAGAAUUAAUUUAUUAAUUGGAU
Salvia miltiorrhiza (redroot sage) is the source of this 2011-nucleotide long non-coding RNA. RefSeq lists it as uncharacterized. Lineage: Eukaryota; Viridiplantae; Streptophyta; Magnoliopsida; Lamiales; Lamiaceae. The record is from RefSeq and is a predicted model, not a curated record. The transcript is spliced from 2 exons.